GACCUCGGAUCAGGCAGGGAUACCCGCUGAACUUAAGCAUAUCAAUAAGGGAGGAAAAGAAACCAACAGGGAUUGCCUCAGUAACGGCGAGUGAAGCGCAACAGCUCAAAUUUGAAAUCUGGCCCCUUCGGGGUCCGAGUUGUAAUUGUAGAGAGUGUUUCGGGUGAGGCCACGGUCUAAGUCCAUUGGAACAUGGGUCAUAGAGGGUGAGAAUCCCGUAUGUGACUGUGGGUCGAGCCCAUGUGAGCCUCUUCGACGAGUCGAGUUGUUUGGGAAUGCAGCUCAAAAUGGGUGUAAAUUUCAUCUAAAGCUAAAUAUUGGCUGGAGACCGAUAGCGCACAAGAGAGUGAUCGAAAGACGAAAAGCACUUGGAAAGAGAGUCAAAAAGUCAAAGUACGUGAAAUUGUUGAAAGGGAAGCGCUUGCAACCAGACCUGUCCGUGGUGAUCAGCCGCUGUUCUCAGUGGUGCACUCGCUCUGCGAUCAGGCCACAUCGGUUCGGGCGGCCGGAUAAAGGCCUUGGGAAUGUAGCUUCCCUCGGAAGUCUUAUAGCCCUCGGUGCAAUGCGGCCAGCCGGGACCGAGGACCGGCUUCGGCUAGGAUGCUGGCGUAAUGGUUGUAAGCGACCCGUCUUGAAAACGGACCAAGGAGUCUAACAUCUAUGCGAGUGUUUGGGUGUCAAACCCAGCGCGGAAUGAAAGUGAACGGAGGUGAGAACCCUUAAGGGCGCAUCAUCACCGAUCCAGAUGUCUUCGGAUGGAUUUGAGUAUGAGCAUAGCUGUUGGACCCGAAAGGUACGUUCGAAUUCCCCCCCUCCCCUUGAUGUAUAUAGAAUUAAGCUAACUUGUCCGACAGAUGGUGAACUAUGCCUGAAUAGGGUGAACCAGAGGAAACUCUGGUGGAGGCUCGCAGCGGUUCUGACGUGCAAAUCGUCGUCAAAUUUGGGUAUAGGGGCGAAAGACUAAUCG
RNAcentral lists this ribosomal RNA (967 nucleotides) under Protousnea dusenii. Its description in RNAcentral is "eukaryotic LSU rRNA". It matches the Rfam family "Eukaryotic large subunit ribosomal RNA", at positions 1 to 937 of the family's 3401-position model. Lineage: Eukaryota; Fungi; Ascomycota; Lecanoromycetes; Lecanorales; Parmeliaceae. The record is from RNAcentral.